CAGAGCGAAAUUUGAACAAUGAAAGAGAAUGAAAACGAAACAACGCGAAAAAAAAGAACUCCCUCGAAGUUCAGAUAUUGACAAUCGCCGAUCAAAGUUUUCUCCGGCGAAGAAAACCUCAAAGAAGGCAAGUGGUUUUAAUAACCAGUAAUUUAUUAUUCGUAUCCCCAUUGUUUCCUCUGGAUUGCGAGCUCAAUUCCCCCCCUCUGUUUCCGUUUUCGUUGUCAUCGCAGAUUGAUCAUAAAAAGGUUUACCAAAUCGUUCGUUUCACUGACUGGAGAUGUUUUGCCUAAAAUUUCAUUGAUUUCUCUUCGAUUUCUAUCAUUUCAGGUGCCAAUUUAAACGGUGAAACCUCACAGUAGCGGGCUUGCUGUUUUCCUAGUAUUUGGUGAUAUAUAUUCAAGAAUCACUUGCAUUUUCACUGGACUCCCGCCAACUUGAAGAGAAAUUAGGCAGCAGAAACAGUCAUUUCAGACUUGGUUAACUCAAAAUCAUGU
Long non-coding RNA from Gossypium raimondii (Peruvian cotton), 497 nucleotides. RefSeq lists it as uncharacterized. Lineage: Eukaryota; Viridiplantae; Streptophyta; Magnoliopsida; Malvales; Malvaceae. The record is from RefSeq and is a predicted model, not a curated record. The transcript is spliced from 3 exons.